GAUGAACGCUGGCGGCGUGCCUAAUACAUGCAAGUCGAGCGAACAGACGAGGAGCUUACUCCUCUGACGUUAGCGGCGGACGGGUGAGUAACACGUGGAUAACCUACCUAUAAGACUGGGAUAACUUCGGGAAACCGGAGCUAAUACCGGAUAACAUUUUGAACCGCAUGGUUCAACAGUGAAAGACGGUCUUGCUGUCACUUAUAGAUGGAUCCGCGUCGCAUUAGCUAGUUGGUAAGGUAACGGCUUACCAAGGCAACGAUGCGUAGCCGACCUGAGAGGGUGAUCGGCCACACUGGAACUGAGACACGGUCCAGACUCCUACGGGAGGCAGCAGUAGGGAAUCUUCCGCAAUGGGCGAAAGCCUGACGGAGCAACGCCGCGUGAGUGAAGAAGGUCUUCGGAUCGUAAAACUCUGUUAUUAGGGAAGAACAAAUGUGUAAGUAACUAUGCACGUCUUGACGGUACCUAAUCAGAAAGCCACGGCUAACUACGUG
RNAcentral lists this ribosomal RNA (497 nucleotides) under uncultured bacterium. RNAcentral's name for it is "partial 16S ribosomal RNA". It matches the Rfam family "Bacterial small subunit ribosomal RNA", at positions 28 to 507 of the family's 1533-position model. The record is from RNAcentral.